Molecule: ribosomal RNA, 387 nt
Filed under: uncultured bacterium
Lineage: Bacteria
Description: bacterial SSU rRNA
Rfam family: Bacterial small subunit ribosomal RNA
Source: RNAcentral
ACGAACGCUGGCGGCGUGCUUAACACAUGCAAGUCGAGUGGUAAGGCCCUUUCGGGGGUACACGAGCGGCGAACGGGUGAGUAACACGUGGGUGACCUGCCCUCAGCUCUGGGAUAAGCCUGGGAAACUGGGUCUAAUACUGGAUAUGACUCCACGGUGCAUGUCGUGGGGUGGAAAGCCUUGUGCGGCUGAGGAUGGGCCCGCGGCCUAUCAGCUUGUUGGUGGGGUNAUGGCCUACCAAGGCGACGACGGGUAGCCGGCCUGAGAGGGCGACCGGCCACACUGGGACUGAGACACGGCCCAGACUCCUACGGGAGGCAGCAGUGGGGAAUCUUGCGCAAUGGGCGAAAGCCUGACGCAGCGACGCCGCGUGAGGGAUGACGGCCU